AUCACCGCCACCUACUGGUCUGGAGGGGAAUCAGGCGUUUAUAACCCGGGAUGGCAGAGGCAUUGGAGCUGCAGGAAGUUCUGAUGGAGGACCGGCAGCACAUCUGAGACCUUCACACCUUCUGUGUGUUUCUACUCAUGACUGUGAUGGUGUAUUGAUAUGUGGAAUACAGCUGAAAAAAGCUGGUUUGGGUUCUGAGUCCAAAGACCGUCCAGUCUCUUACAUAUUAUGUAAAACCAACUUUUUUGAACUCUACAUCAUGUUAUAAUAUUAUUCGCUCAUCAAAAA
Xiphophorus hellerii (green swordtail) is the source of this 288-nucleotide long non-coding RNA. RefSeq lists it as uncharacterized. The transcript has 2 exons. NCBI's taxonomy places the organism in Eukaryota, Metazoa, Chordata, Actinopteri, Cyprinodontiformes, Poeciliidae. The record is from RefSeq and is a predicted model, not a curated record.